Long non-coding RNA from Erigeron canadensis, 3557 nucleotides. RefSeq lists it as uncharacterized. The record is from RefSeq and is a predicted model, not a curated record. Lineage: Eukaryota; Viridiplantae; Streptophyta; Magnoliopsida; Asterales; Asteraceae. The transcript is spliced from 4 exons.
UACGGCAAUUCCUUCAACAGUCUUCUACAUCCUCCUCCUUUCUCUUUUCCCUCAACUUUAUCUUUUCUUCUUGCUCUUUUCAACAUACACCAAAACAACAUCGGCCUGCUCUUUUACUAUCACCAGAACAACAUCGGCCUGCUCUUUUUCUUUUACUAUCAUCAUCGGCUGAUCAUUCUCCAUUUCGUUAUCAAACCACCGGUCCGAUCUGAGCUUCAGAAUUGUCAGAUACAUGUUGAUGCUGCUGAUCAUCAUGCCUGCUUGCUUCCCGACUGUUCGUAUUAAUAGACAUUUAUUUUUACUCAGAUCUUUACACGAUAGAGUUCCAGAAAAGGGGCCUGCCACACUGUCAUCUGCUUUUGUGGGUAAAUGAAAGGUGCAAAAUCAAAAACGCUGAAGACGUUGACGCUUUCAUCAGUGCAGAAAUCCCAGAUCCAGUCAGGGAACCUCAGUUGCACAAAAUUGUCACUGAGCUAAUGAUGCACGGCCCGUGUGGAAUUGCUAAACCAGAAUCUCCAUGCAUGUCCAAAGGAAGAUGCUCAAAACGAUUCCCAAAACCUUACAAUGAAAAGACAUUCUUUGAUAAAAACGGGUAUGUGCAUUACAAAAGAUCAGCUUCCGGCAGAUUUAUUGUCAAGAUUAACAUAGAGCUAGAUAAUGGUUUUGUUAUUCCUUACAAUAAAACAUUACUGCUACGUUUCCAUGCACAUAUUAAUGUUGAAUAUUGUGGAUGGAACAUGAUGAUCAAGUACCUAUUCAAGUACAUAUCAAAAGGCGCUGAUCGAAUACGUUUUAAAAUAUCCAGGCCUACUGAUUUUCCUUCUGAGAUUUAACCACCUGUUACAUCAGUGGUUGAUGAGAUAGCUGAUUUUACCGACGCACGCUUUAUUUGUCCUCAUGAGGCAGCUUGGCGUUUAUUAAAUUUUGAUAUCCAUGCUCGGCAUCCUGCAGUGCAAACACUAGCCGUUCAUCUAAAAGACAUGCAGAAGGUAUAUUUCAGAAACAAUGAUCACCUUCAACAACUGGUAGCAAAUCAGUUUACCAAGAGGACAACGUUGACAGAGUGGUUACGUAAUAAUGCCAUUGAUCCUAGAGGAAGACAUCUACGAUAUGUAGAUUAUCUAAAUGAAUAUCGAUGGGAUUAUGGAUCCAAACAUUGGAUUCGAAGAACUAGAAAUAACGAAACGUCUGAAGUCACAAUUGGUAGGCUGGUUUACGUGCAUCCAAACUCUGGGGAGACUUUCUAUCUGAGAUUAUUGCUUUCCCACCAAAGAGGCUGCACAUCAUUUGAAAACAUCGAAACCGUUUCGGGACAAACUUUUCCUACGUACCGUGCAGCCUGUGAAAGACUAGGUUUGCUUGGAGAUGACAAAGAGUGGCAGUUUGCAUUCGCUGAAGUAGCAGCAUGGGCUACACCAACAGAACUACGAUCAUUGUUUACACAUAUGUUGCUAUUUUGUGAUGUCUCAGAUCCUACACGAUUAUGGGAAACUCAAUGGGGUACAAUGGCAGAUGACAUUCAACACAGAUAUCAAUUGGUGAACGACGAUGACCUUAGACAAUAUGUUUUGUACGAGAUUCAGCUGUUACUAAACUCAGGUGCUUCGAAUGCUUCUGUCAGAUUUUUGGAUUACCAACACUUCGAGAUGAUCUUUUGUUAUGUCUAACAAACCAUUUAUUAAUGGAGGAAAAGAAUUACGACAAAGAACAAUUAUCUGUAGAACAUCAUUUACAGAGACAAAAACUUCAUCCACGACAACUACUUAUAUACAACGAAGUAAUAGAAAACGUCACUGAAGGAACUCAAGUUCUCUCAUUUGUCUACGGUCAUGGUGGUACAGGAAAAACUUUCCUAUGGACCACAAUUAUUUCAGCCUUACGUUCACAAGGAAAGAUAGUUUUAGCAGUUGCAGCCUCUGGAAUAGCGUCUUUGCUAUUACCGGCAGGUCGAACCGCUCAUUCAAGAUUUAAGAUCCCAAUUGAUUUGAGCGAAACAUCCAUUUUUCAUAUAACGAAGAACACCCACACAGCACAGCUUUUAGCCGAAACGUCACUUAUAAUUUGGGACGAGACCCCUAUGAGUGAUCGUCGCUGCUUUGAGUCCCUGGACAGGUCACUUAGAGACAUUCUUAAUUGUCAAGAUCACCCUUUUGGAGGAAAAUCAGUGUUACUAGGUGGAGACUUUCGACAGACGUUGCCAAUAAUUCUCAUAUCUAUGGCCACUCUUCAAGGUGCAUAGGUUAACAGAAAAUUUGCGCCUCCUUUCAAACUGCAUAGAUCCAAACAGAGUUUCUGACAUUGCUGACUUCUCUAACUGGCUUCUUGAUGUCGGCGACGGCAAAAUUGGCAGACUCGCUUCUGCAGACCAUAGUGAUACCAAAAUCAUUGAAAUUCCCAACAAAUAUAUCAUACCUUUUAGUAACCAGGCUGUUCAUGAUCUUAUCCAAUUCAUCUACGAUGAAAACAACCUGAGCAAAAUUUGCCCAUCAACUCUUUCCCAAAAAGCGAUCAUUUGUCCAAAAAAUGACACAGUCGAUGAAAUAAAUGAUUUGGUCCUCGGCAAAGCUCCAGGCGAGAGUAGAGUCUACCUCAGCUCAGAUUCAAUUGUUCCCCAUCUUGGCUGUCAUGAAGAUAUUGAAGUUUUAUACCCACCAGAGUAUUUGAACAUGCUUACUUUCAGUGGGCUUCCUGCACACAAACUUGAGUUAAAGGUACGCUCACCCGUAAUUCUUCUACGAAACAUCAAUCAAACAGCAGGACUUUGCAAUGGCACCAGGUUAAUUGUUACACAACUAUUACCAAGGGUGAUUGAAGCACAAGUAAUAACCGGUACAGCUUUUGGCCAUCGUGUUUACAUACCCCGAAUUUCUUUAACGUACACCGACAAAGAGCUGCCUUUCACUCUUAAAAGAAAACAGUUCCCUUUACGCCUUUGUUAUGCAAUGACUAUUAACAAAAGCCAAAGGCAGUCCCUUAAUAAGAUUGGGGUUUACUUACCACAACCCGUCUUCGGCCACGGACAACUAUAUGUUGCCUUUUCACGCGCAACCUCACCUGACGCUUUAAGAGUUGUUAUCGCACCCACUGACAACUACAAUAAGAACGAAACAAAAAACUUGAUAAGCACAAUUUACUACUGUAUUAGUUAUACUUUAUUAACACAAAAACUAACUUUACUUACUAACAUUUACAGGUAAUCUAUUCUGCUGAGUAUAGUCCCACAUAGCUGUCAUAUUUGAACAAACGCCUUACAAGCAAAAGUGCAACAACCACACCUGGUUGCUCUUCUUGUAUUAUAUGUACAUACUUGUAAGUAGUGGUAACGCUAUUAGUAUUUCUUUGAAGCAUAAAUGCAGUAUAGUGUAUGUACUCCCUUUACCUAUCGCCCCUUUGUCUCGGUUUUUAUAUUUGUGGGUUUGGUUUCCUUCCCUUUUAAUUGCAUAGAUAGUUUGCCUCAGAAUUAAAUUACUAGAUGUUAAAUGCUAUAAACCUUAUCGCAUUUGUACCAAUAAAGUUUACAUCUUUACGAUCAACUGUUUGAUUCGUGGGAUAUUCUA